RNAcentral lists this transfer RNA (68 nucleotides) under Fidelibacterota bacterium. RNAcentral describes it as "tRNA-Leu". RNAcentral also lists the same sequence under 1 other name. Lineage: Bacteria; Pseudomonadati; Fidelibacterota. The record is from RNAcentral.
CGGUAAAUAGACGGUCAGUACCCUGCUUUGGGAGCAGGGGGUCGUAGGUUCAAAUCCUAUCACCCCGA